Long non-coding RNA from Lolium rigidum, 950 nucleotides. RefSeq lists it as uncharacterized. The transcript has 2 exons. The record is from RefSeq and is a predicted model, not a curated record. NCBI's taxonomy places the organism in Eukaryota, Viridiplantae, Streptophyta, Magnoliopsida, Poales, Poaceae.
UCUUCCUUAAAAAACUAUGCAAGCUCAAAUAUUUGUUUUUUGCUUCUGCUGCAGUUGUUCUACUACCUACAAAACAUCAAAUAAUCCAGAGAAAUAAAGUAAUCAUUUUGUUUACAAGCCGUACAUCCAUACUGACUUCUUUUAUUUCAAAAUGAGGCUUUUGUUUUGUACUCUAUUUUCUGAAUGGUAUCGUAGUUUUUUACGAGUUUCCUGGAUUUUCUUCGUAGUAGCACCAUUUAAGGUGUUAUGAUGCAUUCAUACCCUUACAUCAUGCUUGCCGUUUCUUCAUAACUCACAUGGCAACAACAGGUUGAUAUCCGGAAUUCUUAUUUUCUUAUAUAUUACGUAUUUAACUUGGCUUGUCAUUUGGUGGUGCUUACACAAUGGUGGCAUGCCUAUUGAUUCAAGAUUUCAUGUGAUUAGACAAAAAAAUUUAUGUAGAUUGGAGACAAAUUUCUAUAUCUCAAUUGAAUAAUCCAUGGUGAACAGAUUUAUAGUAUAUUAGAUUAGCGAUAAAAUCUUCAGAAUGAUACCUUCUUCCUGCUGAUGUUAAUUUUCUGCAUUACCAAUUCAAGUGACAGGUACGGAUUCUCAGAGAACAAAAGCAACUGGGGGAAUCACAUUGAGCAUGUAAAAAAAACUGAAAAGGUAGCUGGGGGAAUCAAUAUCAGGUCUUCUUUAUCGAACGAGCCGUGGACAAAGAACAACAAUAGGCUGAACUGGAGGCUGGUUUCAGUGGGGUUUGAUCGCCGAUUUUUCUUCAGUGCUGUACCUGCAUAUUGUUGUCAACAAUAGGUCUAUCUAUACAUUCGGCAAUUCUGAGUGGUACAAGUUGAAGAAGUUCAAUCUAUAUAUACUGGACUUUAAUACUUGUGUUUCUUUCAUCAGUAUUCGCAUCACCAAUGAAGGCAUCCUUUAAUAAUAGGUCAGGAGCGAUGAGAUUUCACAAA